UGAAACAUCCCUGGAGACUGAGCCCUCUGUCCACAGAACAGCUCCAGCAUGGGCAGCAGCAGGACAGUCUUCCCUCAUACAUCACUCCACCAGCAUGCUUCUACAUUGGCCUGGAGAGACAGCGACUAGGAGGUUGGGAUAGUUCAGUCCCCAUUGUCUGUCCAACUCUCAGCUUCU
Molecule: unclassified non-coding RNA, 177 nt
Organism: Chelonoidis abingdonii (Abingdon island giant tortoise)
Lineage: Eukaryota; Metazoa; Chordata; Testudines; Testudinidae
Source: Ensembl